GGGGAUUUAGCUCAGCAGUAGAGCACUUGCCUAGCAAGCACAAGGCCCUGGGUUCGAUCCCCAGCUCCG
Non-coding RNA from Rattus norvegicus (Norway rat), 69 nucleotides. NCBI's taxonomy places the organism in Eukaryota, Metazoa, Chordata, Mammalia, Rodentia, Muridae. The record is from Rfam.